UCCGUAGGCGGGCAAUUAAGUCAGAGGUGAAAUCCCACAGCUCAACUGUGGAACUGCCUUUGAUACUGGUUGUCUUGAGUUAUAGUGAAGUAGAUAGAAUAUGUAGUGUAGCGGUGAAAUGCAUAGAUAUUACAUAGAAUACCGAUUGCGAAGGCAGUCUACUAACUGUAUACUGACGCUAAUGGACGAAAGCGUGGGGAGCGAACAGGAUUAGAUACCAUGGUAGUCC
RNAcentral lists this ribosomal RNA (229 nucleotides) under uncultured bacterium. RNAcentral describes it as "partial 16S ribosomal RNA". It matches the Rfam family "Bacterial small subunit ribosomal RNA", at positions 568 to 796 of the family's 1533-position model. The record is from RNAcentral.